ACCCAUGAACACACAAAAAGAAGAAGAAGAAAAAGAAAAGACACUUGAGAAAAUAAACUGAAAAUCACAUGAUUCAUCACAAAAUAAAAAAAAACAGGGGAAAAAAGGAGAUAAAAAUAAGGACGAGAGAGCUCCCAAGAACACAUUAAAACGCAUUCUUAUUUCUAAUUACUACUCAAAAAGCUCUCGUCGUCGUCGUCG
Molecule: long non-coding RNA, 201 nt
Filed under: Oryza brachyantha (malo sina)
Lineage: Eukaryota; Viridiplantae; Streptophyta; Magnoliopsida; Poales; Poaceae
Description: long non-coding RNA (OBRA_LNC001336)
Source: RNAcentral